RNAcentral lists this ribosomal RNA (754 nucleotides) under bacterium. RNAcentral's name for it is "bacterial SSU rRNA". The record is from RNAcentral.
CGGUUGAUAGAGUUUGAUCAUGGCUCAGGACGAACGCUGGCGGCGUGCCUAAUACAUGCAAGUCGUACGCUUCUUUUUCCACCGGAGCUUGCUCCACCGGAAAAAGAAGAGUGGCGAACGGGUGAGUAACACGUGGGUAACCUGCCCAUCAGAAGGGGAUAACACUUGGAAACAGGUGCUAAUACCGUAUAACAAUCGAAACCGCAUGGUUUUGAUUUGAAAGGCGCUUUCGGGUGUCRCUGAUGGAUGGACCCGCGGUGCAUUAGCUAGUUGGUGAGGUAACGGCUCACCAAGGCCACGAUGCAUAGCCGACCUGAGAGGGUGAUCGGCCACAUUGGGACUGAGACACGGCCCAAACUCCUACGGGAGGCAGCAGUAGGGAAUCUUCGGCAAUGGACGAAAGUCUGACCGAGCAACGCCGCGUGAGUGAAGAAGGUUUUCGGAUCGUAAAACUCUGUUGUUAGAGAAGAACAAGGAUGAGAGUAACUGUUCAUCCCUUGACGGUAUCUAACCAGAAAGCCACGGCUAACUACGUGCCAGCAGCCGCGGUAAUACGUAGGUGGCAAGCGUUGUCCGGAUUUAUUGGGCGUAAAGCGAGCGCAGGCGGUUUCUUAAGUCUGAUGUGAAAGCCCCCGGCUCAACCGGGGAGGGUCAUUGGAAACUGGGAGACUUGAGUGCAGAAGAGGAGAGUGGAAUUCCAUGUGUAGCGGUGAAAUGCGUAGAUAUAUGGAGGAACACCAGKGCGAAGGUGGAU